Molecule: ribosomal RNA, 406 nt
Filed under: uncultured bacterium
Lineage: Bacteria
Description: partial 16S ribosomal RNA
Rfam family: Bacterial small subunit ribosomal RNA
Source: RNAcentral
GAUGAACGCUAGCUGCAGGCUUAACACAUGCAAGUCGAGCGACCGGCGCACGGGUGAGUAACACGUAUCCAACCUGCCCUUUACUCGGGGAUAGCCUUUCGAAAGAAAGAUUAAUACCCGAUGUAAAGGAUGGGGAUGCGUUCCAUUAGGUUGUUGGUGAGGUACCGGCUCACCAAGCCUUCGAUGGUGUGGGGUUCGGAGAGGAAGGACCACCACAUUGGAACUGAGACAAGGUCCAAACGGGAAGGGGCGGUAGCGGUGAGUGAUAAAGGUCAGUGGGCGUUAGUCUGCACCGGCCAAGUAGCGUGAAGGGUGAUGGGUUAUGGGUCGUAGAUUACUGUGAUAUAAGAAUAUGUAUUAGAUGAAUAAGGAUCGGCUAACUCCGUGCCAGCCGCCGCGGUAAUAC